Long non-coding RNA from Rana temporaria (common frog), 1972 nucleotides. RefSeq lists it as uncharacterized. NCBI's taxonomy places the organism in Eukaryota, Metazoa, Chordata, Amphibia, Anura, Ranidae. The record is from RefSeq and is a predicted model, not a curated record. The transcript is spliced from 5 exons.
AAAUACCUGCAUACUAUAUCAUAAUGAGCUAGUAUGCAUAGCAUACUAGCUCAUUAUGUAAUACCACUGAUCGGCGAAAACCUCGCUGCGGUGGCCGACACAACGGCUGGCGACAUGUAAUCCCGCUGUUAAACGUGCAGGUUUAGCGUCUCUGGGCAAUCACAGCGCAAAACCCGGAAGUAACUCCGGGCCUACAUGCUGCUGCCCGAUGAUGUGUCGGCCACUGCAGCGGGGGCUUUGAUCGCAGGUGAGUAUUACAUAAUCAGCUUCUAUGCUAUGCACGCAGGUCUGCCAGUCCUGGCAUGACCACCUUAAGAAAAUGCACGAUCGUUCUAAAUUAUCCCCUAAACCAUGAAUGGAGGUAUUUCAAGCACCUACAUACAGGUAAGCAUUAAUAUAGUCUUCCAGGUAGCUAAAAGUACUAUAUAUUUAUUCAUUUCUGUUGAUAUAUCUAUUUUGAAUCCUGACAUGCACUAUGUUUGUUUUUGUUGAUUUUAUUAUUUCCCAUCACAUCUUACAACUUGCAAACGUUUGAAUUGAAGUAGAUCUAUGCAUAAGGGUAAUAAUAAUAAUAAUAAUAAUAAUAAUAAUUAAUAAAUAAUAAUAGUUUUUGUUUACAUUCACAAAUCCAAUAUCUACUACCACCGUUUGCAAGAAUGUUAUCAACCCAAGCUGGGGUUAGUUUGUUUAUUUUUCAUUCGUUUUUGGAGUAAUGUUUUGACUCCUUGGCUCUGAAAUUAAGCCACAAAAAAAAAAAGCUACCAUUCCAUAAAGAAACCUACUCCACAAUUCCACGGCUCGCAAUACUCCCACAAACACUGGGGCUCUCCUCCUACUGUGCUCUUGCUGCAGUGCAGACUGCUGCCACCUGCCCUCAAAGAAGAAAUAUUACAGUUCACGUUUGGAAGACAUCUCACCACACUAUGGAUUUAAUCCUGGUUAAGUAUGUUGCCUGUGGCACCCUUAAACACGUGAGUGGCUUAUCAAUUUUCCCCUACUCACCUUCCAUCAUUCCAUUAAUUAUUUCUUCUAAUUUAUAUCCCUCUCUCUUUUUUUGCAGUUGCAAUUUACUGACGUCAUGUCUCACAUGCAUGCCUAACAUUGGACCUGGAUGUGGAUGAGGAGGAAGCAAAUAGAAAAACACAUGAGGUUUUUUCAGCACUUCAUAGUUUUUUGACAUCGAAAUAAUUUCUUCUAUGCCAUUGUCAGUGUAUCACCUCCACACUUCCCAGAGCUACAAAUCUAAACUCAUGCUUUAUCUUGGCCCUGGUAUUUUGAUUCCAUUCUGACCACCAGGGAUCUGAAUGCUGCUCAGCUCCAUGCAAGAUAACAUAUUUAUCAGCAUAUGACACGCACAUUUAACUCCUGAAAAGCUUUCUGUUAAAGACGGAAGAAAGAGUGAAGAUAAUGUUGAAGAUAAAGUUCUUAAAGGGUCCCAGUAGGUUGCAGUUUGCGCAGUCCUCCUUGAUAUAUCAAUCCCCCUUCAAAUCACAGUGUCCCUUUCACAGUCACGUUCUAAAGGUAUGAGGUGUCAUUUUUGUACGAAUUUUUAAAUUGAACUUUUAGGUGUAUUACAUGAAAAUGCCUAUGUGUAAAUAGGGUACAUGAUGAUAAUGGAGUUAGUGCUGUGUCCUGUUUCUUCCCAGAUCAUGCACUUACCCUGAGGAGGAGCAAUGGUCCUGCCAGAAGCCGAUGCUGGAGGGUCUUGAAUGCAGCUUUCUGUUAAAGACGGAAGAAAGAGUGAAGAGUCAAGCUCUAUGAUUUUGACCCCUGCUGCUGAAUCCAGGGACAUCCUCUGCCAGAAGGACAUCUCUUAGCUCCGCCUCCCACUCUCGCAACUUGAUAGGCUUUCCUCGGUUUUGUCCUAGUCGAAGCCUCUGCAUCUUCUUUGUAACCGUUGCCCGACAAUCAUAGAACCUGCAAAUGUACAUAAACAUUACAAUUACAUUAAUAAAAAAACAAAUACUUAGAU